This 449-nucleotide ribosomal RNA is filed under the name uncultured bacterium. RNAcentral's name for it is "partial 16S ribosomal RNA". It matches the Rfam family "Bacterial small subunit ribosomal RNA", at positions 29 to 523 of the family's 1533-position model. The record is from RNAcentral.
AGCGAACGCUGGCGGCAGGCCUAACACAUGCAAGUCGAACGAAGUCUUCGGACUUAGUGGCGGACGGGUGAGUAACACGUGGGAACGUGCCUUUAGGUUCGGAAUAACUCAGGGAAACUUGUGCUAAUACCGAAUGUGCCCUUCGGGGGAAAGAUUUAUCGCCUUUAGAGCGGCCCGCGUCUGAUUAGCUAGUUGGUGAGGUAAAGGCUCACCAAGGCUACGAUCAGUAGCUGGUCUGAGAGGAUGACCAGCCACAUUGGGACUGAGACACGGCCCAAACUCCUACGGGAGGCAGCAGUGGGGAAUCUUGCGCAAUGGGCGAAAGCUUGACGCAGCCAUGCCGCGUGGAUGAUGAAGGUCUUAGGAUUGUAAAAUCCUUUCACCGGUGAAGAUAAUGACUGUAGCCGGAGAAGAAGCCCCGGCUAACUUCGCGCCAGCCGCCGCAGUAA